CGAGGAUGCUGAGGAGUGCUGUACAAGGUAUGAAGAACUAAAUUUCUGUGCUGUGUAAUAAGGCCAUCUUUUUUUCUGGCUCCCUUUUCUUUCUUUUGUUUCUUCCGUCUUUCUCAAUGCAAAUCCUGCCUUGUCGUUUCAGUACAUCAAGAAUGUGCAAUCUGCUUCUAGAGGAUGUGUAACAGAUGAGUAAGAAAAACGAAGUCCCCAAUUUGCAAUGAUAUAUGGGUGUUUAUCAUC
This 240-nucleotide long non-coding RNA is filed under the name Elaeis guineensis (African oil palm). RNAcentral describes it as "long non-coding RNA (EGUI_LNC024870)". The record is from RNAcentral. Lineage: Eukaryota; Viridiplantae; Streptophyta; Magnoliopsida; Arecales; Arecaceae.